UGGCAAUGACUUAUGACUGUAAGCAUAGCAUAAGAACCAAGCACAGCAUUAUAUAAGCAAGAUAACUCCAUUGAAUAGCAUAAUGUCACACAAGGAAAUAAAGAUACAAGAGCCAUACCCUUAACUUCCAACAGGACUUGGGAGCCAAAGUAGAGCUUCUCUAGCUUGACUCCAAUAGCUUAGAGACUAAAUGAGGGAGAGAGUGAUUCUUCUUGGUGUGUGUUGGAAUGGAGACCGAUCCUGUCUAUUUAUAGAUGAGUGGAGGUGUUGGGAGGUCGGUAACCGACUAACCGUCAACAUGUGGCAGCUGGAGGCGUGAGGAUCCAGUGGCGGUUUCUAACGCCCGUAAAAUCUACCAACUCAAAUCACUCGCUAAAAAUUUAUUUCAAAAUUUUUCCGACCAUUGAGCUCCCGAGAAAUCUUUUCCUCCCCGUUGUCCCGUCACCCAGCGUGACAUCAUCUUUUUCUGUUCCCCAUAAUUUUCACCGCGUGCCCGUCAAAUCCAUCACGUGUGCCGGUCAAUUCUGCAACUUUCGCCGUUUUCCCCUCCCUUUUUCUUGUUCUUCCUCCUUUUUCCCCCGUUUUCUUUUUCUUCUUUUCCUUUCUCCUUCUUCCUUCUUUCUUCUCUCCUCCUUCUUCCUCCUUUUCUUCUCUCUCCUUCUUUUCUUCUUGGCGCUACUCCCCCUGGCGCCUGGCGCCCGGCGCCGCCCGCAUGGUGCCAUUCGCUUGGCGCCGCCCACCCACCCGAGCGCCUGCACCCGCACGCCCGCUUGGCC
This 776-nucleotide long non-coding RNA is filed under the name Setaria viridis. RNAcentral's name for it is "long non-coding RNA (SVIR_LNC005727)". Lineage: Eukaryota; Viridiplantae; Streptophyta; Magnoliopsida; Poales; Poaceae. The record is from RNAcentral.